Pseudoliparis swirei is the source of this 1572-nucleotide long non-coding RNA. RefSeq lists it as uncharacterized. NCBI's taxonomy places the organism in Eukaryota, Metazoa, Chordata, Actinopteri, Perciformes, Liparidae. The transcript is spliced from 2 exons. The record is from RefSeq and is a predicted model, not a curated record.
UGGUGCUGGUGGUGGUGCUGGUGCACAUCGACACACAGCACACAGACUUCUAUUGACUGGGGUUGGGAGGCAGUCUCUCGUCAGAGUGUUUGUUUAUGCUUCAGAAGAUAAGACGAAUAUGCUCUACAAACAAUAAUUCAAUAAGCAGUGAACCACACCAUGUACCCUGUGUCUAUAGGAUGCAUUGCUACGAGAGAAGCUAACCCUGGCUGUGUCUACUACCGCGCACUUCGAGCACUGACUUUCAGUGUUCGAAGUGCGCCACUGAAAAAACCAGCAGAAUUCAGUGCACUGAAAGUACCCGGAUGGUGCACUGCAAACGGGCAAAAAAUGUAAAACGAUGGACACUACUCGCCCUAAACGGCCGCCAUCUUGGCUACGUAGCGGAAGAGGAGGAGCCAUUUCGCCAGCUUUUCAUUUUAUUUCUAAAACAAUGGCGGACAGCACAAGCGGUAGACCACGAAGCUACAGACCGUAAAUAGACGUUUCCUGGAGGUGCUGCUGGUCCUCUGCUGCCCUCCCGACAUCUGCAUCAGACUCCAAUGACCUCUGGCACCUCACCUCCAGGGCCUUUAAGAAGAUGGACCGCCAUCGCGUCUUCAGUAUCCAGAAGGACCUCUCCACAACACACCUCGCCUUUGACAGGCAGCAGUUGUAGCUUGGAGGUGGUGGUGACAGGCUGCCUGAAGGGGGUCAUGAGGCAGAUGGUUGGGACAGGCAGGGGGAGCCACCAUCCCCAAGGAUACAGUAUCCUGGUGGAGGGGAUGACUGCUCAUAGAAGAUGGGGCUGUUAUUCAGGACCCUGGCAUCAUGCACUGAGCCCGGGGCCUGUCGAAGGCCCUGGCCACCACCCGAUAGGAGGUGGCGCUGGCAAGCCAAAAAAUAAAAACUAGACAGGAGAUCUCGGGGCCCCAACCGUGGUCAGUCAGUGGCCAGCACAGCCAUGAGGGCGUUGAAUGACUCUGGUGAGCCUGAAGUCCACCCUCAUGUCACUGUGGCCACACAACACAACGCCAGCAGUGGCAUUGCAACAUGGAUACGGCAGCGCCGCCUGGGACUGGGUGGCUGCUGUAGAGUGUGGGGAGGAAGGAAGAUUAUAUUAAUAUGUAAGUCAUUUUAUCAAUAAAAUGUUGUCAUUGAGGUUUUGUAGUCUUUUAUUGCGUUUUCUGAUUUAUAUUAGAAUUGAUGCAUGUUUGUAACAAUAAUUAAUAUGCCUGUGUGUUCAAUUGCUCAUUGAUUCCUGUAUCAGGGUAAACUUCACUACAACAGAGAUGUGUAUAAAAGUACAGUCAGUCAAAGUAGGCCUAUUACUGUGUGAAUUCAAGCAGAUGAUGCCUAUCAUUUCAGUGGAUAAUUCUUAAAACUAAUUGGAAUCUAGGGACAAACAUGUACAGAGUUGUCAUGUUUUAUUUCCAUAUGGUGUGUAUGUGGAUUGCAAAGAAGAAGGCUACUUCUGACAAAGAUAAUUGAGAAUUUAGCAUACCUAGCGAGGAGAACUUAAUUGCAACUACUACAUGAAGCUAUGCUGUGAAGGUAAGGCAAAAUCACACAAUUAAACUUACAUAUACCAUC